RNAcentral lists this long non-coding RNA (788 nucleotides) under Ananas comosus (pineapple). RNAcentral's name for it is "long non-coding RNA (ACOM_LNC039063)". Lineage: Eukaryota; Viridiplantae; Streptophyta; Magnoliopsida; Poales; Bromeliaceae. The record is from RNAcentral.
CCCCGUUAAGGCCCUACGUCCUCGUCAGUCCAAUCACACACACAGCCCAAGAUCACCAGGCGAUGUGAGACUCGUCUCGCUAGCCCGUCAUCCAGACCCUGGCUUAGCCGAAACUCGCCACACAUGUCCAGCUGGUGAACCGGCUCUGAUACCAAAUGUAACGACCCAGCCCACUAGCAACAAUAACUCGUUGGGCCCAACAACCGGCCCAAAAUGCUUAAGCCCAGUUAUUAUUACUAGUGUCUAAGUCUCUUAUAAACCCAAUGACAAUCCCAUUCCCAUUCGAUGUGGGACUAUUGGGGUGUCACAUUUAUAAAAUUCUUAGUAAUGUAAUUUUAUUGUUUAUAUUCUAUUCUUGUUACUUAAAUAAUUUCGGGAGCGAGCCAAUGCAUUGCGGCGGUUAAAGUAAGAAUAACCUGUUUCCGCCAAUCAAAAUGCCUAAAAAGUUGAGGUGUUCUUUUCUAAAUUAAAAAAUUGAGGAUAAAUCCUCAAUGCUUGAACUUGUUAGUAAGGCUUCAUUUGAGAUUGCGGGAAAAUUGCAUUACGUGCAGUGAAAAAGUAUAAUAAAAAAAUAUCAUUUUUUUUUUUUGUACAUAAUAUUACGUUCCGCAUAUUGUGAUGAAUUAGUUAUAAUAUAUUUUUUGCGGUCCCAUCGAAGAAUGUAGGAGCAUAACCCUAUAUAUUUUUUUCCUAACUCUAUUUUAUCUAACAACGUCAGAUAGAUCUCAAUACCAAACUAAGUCUAAAUAGUUUAAAUUCAAAAAAUGAUGGUGAAAAUGUAGGAAGUG